RNAcentral lists this ribosomal RNA (429 nucleotides) under uncultured bacterium. Its description in RNAcentral is "bacterial SSU rRNA". It matches the Rfam family "Bacterial small subunit ribosomal RNA", at positions 39 to 456 of the family's 1533-position model. The record is from RNAcentral.
GGCCGCGGGAAUUCGAUUCAGGCCUAACACAUGCAAGUCGAACGGAAAGGCCCUGCUUGCAGGGUACUCGAGUGGCGAACGGGUGAGUAACACGUGGGUGAUCUGCCCUGCACUUCGGGAUAAGCCUGGGAAACUGGGUCUAAUACCGGAUAGGACCAUCGUUUAGUGUCGGUGGUGGAAAGUUUUUCGGUGCAGGAUGAGCUCGCGGCCUAUCAGCUUGUUGGUGGGGUAAUGGCCUACCAAGGCGUCGACGGGUAGCCGGCCUGAGAGGGUGGACGGCCACAUUGGGACUGAGACACGGCCCAGACUCCUACGGGAGGCAGCAGUGGGGAAUAUUGCACAAUGAAGGGCAAGCCUGAUGCAGCGACGCCGCGUGGGGGAUGAAGAAAUUCGGGUUGUAAACUCCUUUCAACCAUGACGAAGCAUUAU